This 381-nucleotide ribosomal RNA is filed under the name uncultured bacterium. RNAcentral describes it as "bacterial SSU rRNA". It matches the Rfam family "Bacterial small subunit ribosomal RNA", at positions 29 to 412 of the family's 1533-position model. The record is from RNAcentral.
AUUGAACGCUGGCGGCAUGCCUUACACAUGCAAGUCGAACGGCAGCGGCGGGAGCAAUCCUGGCGGCGAGUGGCGAACGGGUGAGUAAUACAUCGGAACGUGCCCAAUCGUGGGGGAUAACGCAGCGAAAGCUGUGCUAAUACCGCAUACGAUCUACGGAUGAAAGCAGGGGAUCGCAAGACCUUGCGCGAAUGGAGCGGCCGAUGGCAGAUUAGGUAGUUGGUGAGGUAAAGGCUCACCAAGCCUUCGAUCUGUAGCUGGUCUGAGAGGACGACCAGCCACACUGGGACUGAGGCACGGCCCAGACUCCUACGGGAGGCAGCAGUGGGAAUUUUGGACAAUGGCGAAAGCCUGAUCCAGCCAUGCCGCGUGCAGGAUGAA